AGGGUGGACGACGACGACAUCGUCUCCCACAUCCUGGCCGGGUUAGAUGAAGAUUUCGACCCCGUGGUGUCCGCCAUGUGUUCCCGGGUGGAGCCGGUGACCGUGGCCGAGCUGUUCUCACAGCUGCUGAGCUUCGAAA
Molecule: non-coding RNA, 139 nt
Organism: Triticum urartu
Lineage: Eukaryota; Viridiplantae; Streptophyta; Magnoliopsida; Poales; Poaceae
Source: Rfam